UUUCCGUAGGUGAACCUGCGGAAGGAUCAUUAAAGAAUUUAAAGAGUGCACUUCAUUGUGGCUCGACAUUUUCUACCAUUCACCCUAGUGCACUGUAAUACCUUUUUUAUUAGGCUCUACAAAGUUAUUGAAUGUAACACUUUUUAAUAAAGAAAUAAAACUUUUAACAACGGAUCUCUUGGCUCUC
This 187-nucleotide unclassified non-coding RNA is filed under the name plant metagenome. RNAcentral describes it as "partial contains small subunit ribosomal RNA, internal transcribed spacer 1, and 5.8S ribosomal RNA". The record is from RNAcentral.